CUUUAACUUUUGGCAAACUGCUGCUGCCAAUUCUGUUCCAUAUCUUCUGGAUCUACCAUCCCCCAAUUAAAAUUCCCCCUUUCAUUUUCAAAUCGCUGAAACAAGAGGAUGACAUAGGUUUCAACUCAAGUGGAUGAAAUCAACUGCGAUCAACUCUUCCUCUCCUCCGGUGGAAGCAACAGUUGCCGGCGACUAUCGCUUAGGUUGGACCCUUCUUCUCCAAAGGAAAAAACUGCAUAUAUAAGGAGUUUAGAGGAAUGUAUGUACUAUGUUUCAGUUUUGGAGAGCUGUGGAUGACGACUUUUUUUGGAGUAUCUUUCUGUUUCCAAUUUCAGAGAACAGAAAGGCUGAGGUCAUACAUUGAAGAGUUUAUUGGACUAGUGUUGUCUGCAAUCUAAGUUGCUUUCACAUUGCCCUCUACACCUCUACUUCGUAAAUGAUGGCCAAGUGAGGAGUUUUUGGCUCAAAAUGGUAGUGCACUUGGGGAUUACCUAAGGGUAAUCAACAUUCACGGAGAACAAGAAGAUGGUGAUAUUGCUAGUACUUCUACUACAAUUCAUCAGGGCAGUCAAUGCGUACAAGGAAGACAAAUGAAUGAGCUAAGGAUACAAAUUGCAAAUCAGAUGGCAGUAGAUUAGGGCUACCC
Long non-coding RNA from Macadamia integrifolia, 646 nucleotides. RefSeq lists it as uncharacterized. The record is from RefSeq and is a predicted model, not a curated record. The transcript has 3 exons. Lineage: Eukaryota; Viridiplantae; Streptophyta; Magnoliopsida; Proteales; Proteaceae.